Molecule: ribosomal RNA, 471 nt
Filed under: uncultured bacterium
Lineage: Bacteria
Description: bacterial SSU rRNA
Rfam family: Bacterial small subunit ribosomal RNA
Source: RNAcentral
CGCUAUCACUCCUACGGGAGGCAGCAGUGGGAAUAUUGCACAAUGGGGGAAACCCUGAUGCAGCCAUGCCGCGUGUGUGAAGAAGGCCUUCGGGUUGUAAAGCACUUUCAGUAGGGAGGAAGGUAGUGUAGUUAACACCUGCACUAUUUGACGUUAGCUGCAGAAGAAGCACCGGCUAACUCCGUGCCAGCAGCCGCGGUAAUACGGAGGGUGCGAGCGUUAAUCGGAAUUACUGGGCGUAAAGCGCAUGCAGGUGGUUUGUUAAGUCAGAUGUGAAAGCCCGGGGCUCAACCUCGGAAUUGCAUUUGAAACUGGCAGACUAGAGUACUGUAGAGGGGGUAGAAUUUCAGGUGUAGCGGUGAAAUGCGUAGAGAUCUGAAGGAAUACCAGUGGCGAAGGCGGCCCCCUGGACAAAGACUGACGCUCAGAUGCGAAAGCGUGGGGAGCAAACAGGAUUAGAUACCCUGGUAG